GAGUUUGAUCCUGGCUCAGGAUGAACGCUGGCGGCGUGCUUAACACAUGCAAGUCGAGCGAGAAUUAGUUACCGGAGGCUUCGGCCAAAGGUAACUGAGGAAAGCGGCGGACGGGUGAGUAACGCGUGGGUAACCUACCUUAUACAGGGGGAUAACAUAUUGAAAAGUAUGCUAAUACCGCAUAAGCGCACAGGAUCGCAUGAUCUAGUGUGAAAAGCCGAGACGGUAUAAGAUGGACCCGCGUCUGAUUAGCUAGUAGGUGAGGUAAUGGCUCACCUAGGCGACGAUCAGUAGCCGACCUGAGAGGGUGAACGGCCACAUUGGGACUGAGACACGGCCCAAACUCCUACGGGAGGCAGCAGUGGGGAAUAUUGCACAAUGGGGGAAACCCUGAUGCAGCGACGCCGCGUGAAGGAUGAAGGUUUUCGGAUCGUAAACUUCUAUCAGCAGGGACGAUAAUGACGGUACCUGACUAAGAAGCCCCGGCUAACUACGUGCCAGCAGCCGCGGUAAUACGUAGGGGGCAAGCGUUAUCCGGAAUUACUGGGUGUAAAGGGUGCGUAGGCGGUAAUGUAAGUCAGGUGUGAAAGAUCAGGGCUCAACCUGGGAAUUGCAUUGGAGACUGCAAGGCUAGAAUCUGGCAGAGGGGGGUAGAAUUCCACGUGUAGCAGUGAAAUGCGUAGAGAUGUGGAGGAACACCGAUGGCGAAGGCAGCCCCCUGGGCCAAUACUGACGCUCAUGCACGAAAGCGUGGGUAGCAAACAGGAUUAGAUACCCUGGUCGUCCACGCCCUAAACGAUGUCUACUGUGUUGGGUGGGUAAAACCAUUUAGUACCGUAGCUAACGCGUGAAAUUGACCGCCUGGGGAGUACGGCCGCAAGGUUAAAACUCAAAGGAAUUGACGGGGGCCCGCACAAGCGGUGGAUGAUGUGGAUUAAUUCGAUGCAACGCGAAAACCUUACCUGCUCUUGACAUGUACGGAACUUGCCAGAGAUGGCUUGGUG
This 1004-nucleotide ribosomal RNA is filed under the name uncultured bacterium. RNAcentral describes it as "bacterial SSU rRNA". It matches the Rfam family "Bacterial small subunit ribosomal RNA", at positions 9 to 1016 of the family's 1533-position model. The record is from RNAcentral.